AGAGUUUGAUCCUGGCUCAGGAUAAACGCUGGCGGCGCACAUAAGACAUGCAAGUCGAACGGACUUAACCAUUAGUUUACUAUUGGAGCGGUUAGUGGCGGACUGGUGAGUAACACGUAAGCAACCUGCCUAUCAGAGGGGAACAACAGUUAGAAAUGACUGCUAAUACCGCAUAUGCCUUAAUUACCACAUGGUAGUAGAGGGAAAGGAGCAAUCCGCUGAUAGAUGGGCUUGCGUCUGAUUAGAUAGUUGGUAAGGUAACGGCUUACCAAGUCGACGAUCAGUAGCCGGACUGAGAGGUUGAACGGCCACAUUGGGACUGAGAUACGGCCCAGACUCCUACGGGAGGCAGCAGUCGGGAAUAUUGCGCAAUGGAGGAAACUCUGACGCAGUGACGCCGCGUGCAGGAAGAAGGUUUUCGGAUUGUAAACUGCUCUAGACAGGGAAGAAACAAGACAGUACCUGUAGAAUAAGCUCCGGCUAACUACGUGCCAGCAGCCGCGGUAAUACGUAGGGAGCAAGCGUUAUCCGGAUUUAUUGGGUGUAAAGGGUGCGUAGACGGGAAUGCAAGUUGGUUGUGAAAUCCCUCGGCUCAACCGAGGAAUUGCAACCAAAACUAUAUUUCUUGAGUGCUGGAGAGGAAAGUGGAGUUCCUAGUGUAGCGGUGAAAUGCGUAGAUAUUAGGAGGAACACCAGUGGCGAAGGCGACUUUCUGGACAGUAACUGACGUUGAGGCACGAAAGUGUGGGGAGCAAACAGGAUUAGAUACCCUGGUAGUCCACACCGUAAACGAUGGAUACUAGGUGUAGGGGAUGAAUAAUCUUCUGUGCCGUCGCAAACGCAGUAAGUAUCCCACCUGGGGAGUACGGCCGCAAGGUUGAAACUCAAAGGAAUUGACGGGGGCCCGCACAAGCAGUGGAGUAUGUGGUUUAAUUCGACGCAACGCGAAGAACCUUACCAGGGCUUGACAUAUACAUGAAAAUCUAAGAGAUUAGAUCCCUCUUCGGAGCAUGUAUACAGGUGGUGCAUGGUUGUCGUCAGCUCGUGUCGUGAGAUGUUGGGUUAAGUCCCGCAACGAGCGCAACCCCUGUUCUUAGUUGCCAGCAUGUAAAGAUGGGAACUCUAAGAAGACUGCCGGUGAUAAAUCGGAGGAAGGUGGGGACGACGUCAAAUCAUCAUGCCCUUUAUGUCCUGGGCUACACACGUACUACAAUGGCUGUAACAAAGGGAAGCGAACCCGCGAGGAGGAGCAAAACCCAUAAAAGCAGUCUCAGUUCGGAUUGAAGGCUGAAAUUCGCCUUCAUGAAGCCGGAAUUGCUAGUAAUGGCAGGUCAGCGUACUGCCGUGAAUACGUUCCCGGGCCUUGUACACACCGCCCGUCACACCAUGAGAGUUGGGGAUACCCGAAGCCUGUGAGCUAACUGUAAAGAGGCAGCAGUCGAAGGUAGAAUCAAUGAUUGGGGUGAAGUCGUAACAAGGUAGC
This 1483-nucleotide ribosomal RNA is filed under the name uncultured bacterium. Its description in RNAcentral is "16S ribosomal RNA". It matches the Rfam family "Bacterial small subunit ribosomal RNA". The record is from RNAcentral.